This 497-nucleotide ribosomal RNA is filed under the name uncultured bacterium. RNAcentral's name for it is "partial 16S ribosomal RNA". It matches the Rfam family "Bacterial small subunit ribosomal RNA", at positions 28 to 507 of the family's 1533-position model. The record is from RNAcentral.
GAUGAACGCUGGCGGCGUGCCUAAUACAUGCAAGUCGAGCGAACAGACGAGGAGCUUGCUCCUCUGACGUUAGCGGCGGACGGGUGAGUAACACGUGGAUAACUUACCUAUAAGACUGGGAUAACUUCGGGAAACCGGAGCUAAUACCGGAUAAUAUAUUGAACCGCAUGGUUCAAUAGUGAAAGACGGUUUUGCUGUCACUUAUAGAUGGAUCCGCGCCGCAUUAGCUAGUUGGUAAGGUAACGGCUUACCAAGGCAACGAUGCGUAGCCGACCUGAGAGGAUGAUCGGCCACACUGGAACUGAGACACGGUCCAGACUCCUACGGGAGGCAGCAGUAGGGAAUCUUCCGCAAUGGGCGAAAGCUUGACGGAGCAACGCCGCGUGAGUGAUGAAGGUCUUCGGAUCGUAAAACUCUGUUAUUAGGGAAGAACAAAUGUGUAAGUAACUAUGCACGUCUUGACGGUACCUAAUCAGAAAGCCACGGCUAACUACGUG